UAAAAUUAUUUUAAAUAAUAUAUUAGAAAUGAAAUGUUAUUCGUUUUUAAAGGUAUCUAGUUCUUUAAGAAAUAAAUUUAAUUUAGAAAUUUUAUAUUAUUUAAUUAAAUAGAUUAAUUAAAUAACUAUUUAAUUUUAAUAUUUUAUGGGAUAAGCUGUAAAAUAAAAUUUUAAAAAUUCAUAAAUAAAAUAAUAAAUAUAAACUUAAAAAUAGUUAUUGUUAAUAAAAAUGUUAUAAUUUAUUUUUUAAAAGAUAUUAUUUAUUUUGAUUUUAAAUUUUUAUUAAAGUAUUUAUUUUAAUAAAAAAAAUAAAAUAAUAAUGAUAAAAUUAGUAUAUAAUAUUGUAAAUAUAAGUUUAAUUGAUAAGUUUUUAUAAAGAACUCGGCAAAAAUAAUGUUCGCCUGUUUAACAAAAACAUGUCUUUAUGAAUUGUAUUUAAAGUCUAACCUGCCCACUGAAAUAAAUUUAAAUGGCCGCAGUAUUUUGACUGUGCAAAGGUAGCAUAAUCAUUAGUCUUUUAAUUGAAGGCUGGAAUGAAUGGUUGGACGAAAUAUUAACUGUUUCAUAAAAAUUUUUAUUAGAAUUUUAUUUUUUAGUUAAAAAGCUAAAAUAUAUUUAAAAGACGAGAAGACCCUAUAAAUCUUUAUAUUUAAAUUAUUGUAAUUUUUUAGAAUUAUUUUAUUAUUAUAAUUAAUAAUAUUUUAUUGGGGUGAUAUUAAAAUUUAAUAAACUUUUAAUUUUUUUUUUCAUUAAUUUAUGAAUAAAUGAUCCGUUAUUAACGAUUAAAAAAUUAAGUUACUUUAGGGAUAACAGCGUAAUUUUUUUGGAGAGUUCAUAUCGAUAAAAAAGAUUGCGACCUCGAUGUUGGAUUAAGAUAUAAUUUUAGGUGUAGUCGCUUAAAUUUUAAGUCUGU
RNAcentral lists this ribosomal RNA (913 nucleotides) under Exorista cantans. RNAcentral's name for it is "partial 16S rRNA". The record is from RNAcentral. Lineage: Eukaryota; Metazoa; Arthropoda; Insecta; Diptera; Tachinidae.